This is a long non-coding RNA of Gallus gallus (chicken), 3840 nucleotides long. The record is from Ensembl. NCBI's taxonomy places the organism in Eukaryota, Metazoa, Chordata, Aves, Galliformes, Phasianidae.
CCAAGGUCGGGCAGGCCUCAGGCUGACGAUGCGGCAGGCACUGAAUGCAGUGGUAGGCAUUGAAAAUUGGAAGCAAAAAUGUCAUCAGCAGCGAUCUGCUGUAACGACGCAGCAUUGCACCACCACGCUUGUGAUGGAAGUGCACACAGUAGCUCUCCUCAGCAUUUUUUUUUUGUUACCUGUUAAAACCCGAGCCAAAUGUUUAAAAACGUGGAGUAGAGCAGAUGGAAAUGACUCAAAGUCCUUUGUUACUGACAAGACGCCUGCUUUGUGGUGAAUUUCUGUCAGCAGAAGCAUACUUUAUUUGUAACAGUAUUAUAAGGAAUUCUUCCCGUCAGAACUACACCCUUCUCAUACAAUUUGCACACAGUUGGAGCCCAGCAGGUCUUCCUGCCCACCAAACCCCAUCUCCCUGCUGCUGCUCGGCACCCUGUGGAGGAAGUGGGACUGAUGUGCCCCAGGAGCUGCCACAUUUAUGCAGCUGCAGCCAAAACUUGCUCAAAGCAGCCAUGGCCGUGUGCUUGCCCCGGGUACAUCGCAGCCUCACGCCGACCUCAGCCCUCACCCCAACACUCUCCAUCCCCAUGGGACCCAUGUCCCAUGGUCCCUUUUGCCACACCUGGGGACUGAGAGCUGGGCUGGAUUCUUUCCACCUUCACACCAUGGCCUACAACUAAGGACUCACAGAUGAAGUUGUUCCCUGGUUGCUGUACAGACCCCGAUCUGCUCGCUCUCAUUGUUCACUCCAGGGACCAAACAAGCCAGCAGACAUUUGAGACAUCAAAGCAAAAAUUCAGUAGGUCUAAUUCAAAACACAUGCAUGGAAGAGCCUUGCUGGCCGGGACAAUGCCAUGUCACAGAGCCACCUACAGAGAACCACUGUACACCUUGGCACUGCCGCAUUGUUUUCUGAAAGUGCAAAGCAUUACUGAAUGUGUAAGAAAAGAAACAGGCAAACAUUCCUGCAGGGGUUUGAAGGGAGGUAAAUCCACGGCCUGGCAGCCUGAAUGGCACUGUGGUUAAUGCAUCUCAGUGACAGGUGCUACAGGAGCACUUGCAGAACUCGGGCACUGCAGUAGAAGCCGUUGGCAGAAACCUGGGCAAAAAGCUGUAACUUGCUUAAUCACUGGCAGAAAAAAAAAAAAACAAGAUAGCAGUGUUGGCAGUAAUUAAGGUCAGAAACAUCACAAAGAAAAGGCAGAAUAGCAGCAGCAGCAAAGCCUCCCACAAGGGCUGCAGCACCUGAGGGACAACGGGGCCAUGGGCACAGUGGGAAGAAAGCGAGAGCAUCGCUCCCUGCUUGGGGACGGUCCCGGAGCACUGUGGCAUGUGGCCACAUGGUUGUGUCACAGUGUGACGAGCUGCAGGAGCACAACUUGCAGGACCCACAGUUCCAGGCUGCCUACAGCCAUUCAAAGCUGCCUGGUUUUCCUCAAGGGCAGCAUCCAGAGGAUGGCUCUCCGUGCCUUGUUUUUCUGCCACUUUCCCUUCUCUAUUUUCCAUUCUCCUUAAUAGAAAAAGGACUUUUCACACACUUUUAGCUCUUAGGUGAGUUGCCUGCCUCCAUGCCCUCCUGUCCACAAAGAAUAUAUUCUUCUAAUUCAGGUAAGUCCAACCCUUAGCACCCAGGGAUACCCCAUCAGGGGAAACCCAGAGGUCUGUGCUGAGCACAUCCCUCCUGAACAGCCCUCCACUGGCAGUGGGUACCACACAGGCAUGGGACAGCCAUGAGCUUUUCUUAAGGCCACCUGGGCUGAAAGCAGCUCCCUAAACACAGACAAGAGACUGUGUUUAGGAUUCUUUGAGCUCAUGUGUGGCCCCUGUGCCUGCUGCCCAGGGCUGCACAGCACCGUGCCCCUUCAAGCAGCAGCUGCUUGGGGAUGCACAUGGCUCAGGAGAACCCCAAAAUCUUCGGAGGAUUUUCCCCAUGCCAACAUGAGCAGCACAGCAUGAUGGAAACCACAGGCCCUGUGCAGGGGCUGAGGCUUUGCAGGAUGUGUCAUCUCUCAGCUGCAGCGCUGUGGCUUCACCCAGCAGCAUCCCCAGCUCACAGCCUGGCUUUCACCUCCCCCCAAGAUCUGAACCUGGACAGUCCCAAGAACAGGGUCAGGUCCAGAACUGGCUGCCAGUUUUUGAUGGCUCUGUACAACCAGGGUCCCCACGGGCAUGCUCACCGCCAGGAACCCCAGCACUCAGUUCUGCCCUACCUGCACAGAGCUGCCAGAGACUGGGCAGUGUCUGCCAGCACCUGGAGGCUAUGGAGUGUGCAGAGUGAGAGCAGCAGAACAGUCCUGGGCACACAGCAAGGACUGCAGAACAAGGAAACUCAGCUGCAGGGAUCCCUUUGCUGGAGAACGCUGUAGUUUUGUGCCUGUGCAGAAACUAGGUGGCCCAAGAGGUGAAGCAGCUUUGCAGAGAAACCUGUCCUGGCAUUAAAAGAGAGAAACCAUGGAUUAGAAACAGGUUUUGCCUUGCAGCUUUAGAGGCGAUGGGGUUGAAAAGAAUUAUCCAACACCUGCUAAACAGUUCAGCAGCCCAGACUUACACACAGCAUCCUUCAGGAGCUCUGCUCUCCAGGUCCUGGAUUUCAGAGCUGCCACAUCCCUGGGGUGACCACGGCUGCUCCAGGAGCCGGCCUGCAGACACAGAACCCCAGGAAUUGAGGGAAGUCUCCCUCUAUUUGGAGGGGAGGCAAAGGGAAGUGGCCUGCAAAGAGGCACAGGAAGAAGGGUGAGAAGCCAGCAGCGACCUCAGCAUGGCAAGGAUCAGACAGCUCCAUAGAGCAGGACAGGCUGUGCCACCACCCCUGCAGCCCUUUCUCCCAUGCAAGACAGCAGCCCUGCAGCAAGGAGAGGGGCUCAUCCCUGCUGACCCCAGCUGCAGGUUAAGAUCACUCUGGUGUCCCACUGUUAGUGAGAGGCCAGCGUUUGCCCUUUGAUUUAGUUAUGCACCGACAAAGAUUCAGAAGUGUUGGAAGUGCAAUUUUUUGCCACCGACUAAAAAUAGCCGAGCGAAAUUCCAGAGCUGCCUUUCAGCGCCGCCGGCUGCGCUCAGCUUAACAGGACAAUGGCAGCUGUAGGCUGAUGGUGACAACACGCAGGCCGGGCUCCAGCACCCUGAAUAACGAGUUCUAAAGGGCAAAAUUUGGCUGUAAUUACAGCUAUGCAAAAAGCAGUAUUUAAAAACACUAUUAUCUAAAUACCUGAACAUGCAUUGCCAACUUAACACUGGACAGGGGGAUGCAAUAAGAGUGGGACAGACUUUGCACAAAAUAAAAAUUCACCCAGCAAAUCCAUAGAUCCCUUCCAGGAGGAUGCUCAGUUAGCAGCCCGCAGUACAGCAGCGAUGCUGGGAGCCACGCUGCACGGCUUUUAAGCACAAACCACCCACCCUAUGAGCUGCUGCGGUGGCACGUGGUCACUUCUGAGCUCUGCAGAGUGAUGUCCUGUGCACACGCCAGGCAGAAUAGGUGCCUGUCACCAACCUGAGCCCGUGGCACUAUUCAGGGUGAAAAAAAAAGGACUAAGUCAGUGCUUUCAAAUGAGACAGUCCUAGUGCUAACGCUGACCCUUGCAACUCAAACAGAAGCGAGCCUGCAACAAAAGCACUUUCCGAAGGGCUAAAGGGAUAGGUACCCUUAUGUCAGCAGUUACAGGCAAUAGCUUCAUCACUUUUCUCCUCAGUGGCCUCAUCCUUCUGCUGACAUGUCCCUGGGUGACGUUAGGGACCCGAGUGCAAAAGUGCCAGACACACACAGUAAGGGGACCCAGCCCCGCUCAUGUGGCCGCUCUGCAAAGCAGACCCAGUUGUGUUUUCUCACUGAAACGUGAAAGAGAAGAG